AAUGGCUGCUGGACAUGAACUCCA
RNAcentral lists this non-coding RNA (24 nucleotides) under Cricetulus griseus (Chinese hamster). The record is from RNAcentral. Lineage: Eukaryota; Metazoa; Chordata; Mammalia; Rodentia; Cricetidae.